AAAAAUUCGGAUAAAUUACGAUCCUAUCGGAGUAAAUAGCAUAUGAUAUCAGGAUGAAGAAAAGCGCGACAUCCUGGUAGGAAAGUCGAAAACUCCGACAAAGAUAAGAUCAAUUUACAUACAGGAUGAAACGGUGGACAGAGUAAAAGUGGCUUUGUGGAGAAACACUAACAAAGAUGUCAGAACUGGGGAUCACGUCAAAAUCACUGAUUUGACAAUACACACUUACCAAACAAAGUACACAACUGAAACCAGCUUCAAUUCUACCUACACAACUUCAGUUACUAAAGUCGAACAACCAACUGUACAUGUGACGGUUACAGUAAUUGGUGCUUCUGUACAAGAUGACGUUACAGAACUUCUCCUCGAUGAUGACUCUGUGAGGGCAAUUCCUUCACAAUUAUUAAUGGCUGCCCUUCCACAAGAACUUGAAGAAGACUUGGAUCCAGAAUCUUUCUUUGCAGAGCAAAAAACAAACUUAAGGCUGCAAUUAAAAGGAUCGGAAGUACUUUCAGUGAAACUUCAGUAAACUGUUAUACAUAUACAUGACAUUAUUCAGCAUUCCUAGUUUUCCUUGUUUUUCCUAGUGUUUUUUUUUAUAUAAAUCUCCUACUUUUUCAUACUUUUUACAACAAGCUCCUACUUCUCCUAGUUAUGCCUCCCUUCGAAGAAGGGGGAUAUUGCUUUGCACAUGUUGGUGUGUUGGUCUGUCGGUCCGUCCACCACAUGAUUGUCUGAUGAUAACUCAAGAACGCUUAGGCCUAGGAUCAUGAAACUUCAUAGGUACAUUGAUCAUGACUGGCAGAUGACCCCUAUUGAUUUUGAGGUCAAUGGUCACAGGUGAAGGUCAUAGUGACUGGAAAUAGAAAAAUGGUUUCCGGAUGAUAACUCCAGAAUGCUUACGCCUAGGAUCAUGAAACGGAAUAGGGACAUUGGUCAUGACCAGCAGAUGACCCCUACUGAUUUUCAGGUCAAUAGGUCAAAGGUCAAGGUCACAGUGACCUGAAACAGUAAAAUGGUUGACUGGAAAUAGGAAAAUGGUUUCCGGAUGAUAACUCAAGAACGCUUACGCCUGGGAUCAUGAAACUUCACAGGGGCAUUGAUCAUGACUGGCAGAUGACUCUUAUUGAUUUUCAGGUCACUAGGUCAAAGGUCACAGUGAAAUGAGGCAGUAAAAUGGUUGACUGGAAAUAGGAAAAUGGUUUCCGGAUGAUAACUUAAGAAGGCUAACGCCUGGUAUCAUGAAACCAUCACCACCUCCACCACCACCACAGUGACAAAAAACGUAUUCACACAAUGGCUGCCACUACAACUGACAGCCCAUAUGGGGGGCAUGCAUGUUUUACGAACAGCCCUUGUUCUUUUUCAAGUAACAAGUCUUAAAAACUUUUAAUGGGCAAAAAAAUAAUUUGGUUUUGUUAAUUUGAUGUCACCUGGAUACGUAUACAUGUAUUCAUAGUGUUUUAAAUAUAGUUGUGUUUGCUAUAGGUAUAAUCGGUUUUUUUAACAUACCUGAAAUUACGAAUGUAUUGCUUGAUUUUGUCAUUUGCAAAGAUUGCCAAUAUUCAACAUGAAGAAGUAAUUAGGCAAAAUUAUUUUUUACAAUACUUGAGGCUGAACCCUACACAUUCAGUUAAUUGGGUCUAGCCACUCAUUAGUUAUCAAUAAGAAAGCAGGGAGAUUUAAUAUUUGAGUUUCAUCUACAGAUCAUGAGAUGUAGCAUUUAUAGGUACAGGAAAAGACUCGACCUUAUAUAAAUGCAAAGGAUCUUUCAGUUAUAAAUUACAAUGUUUUAAAGUUACAAACAAGCUUGAUUCAUUUCUUGCAAACAGAAAAUCAUUCAUUGAGUACAUGUCUUUCCAUUGAUUAAAUCUGGAACUCCUAACUUAAAUUCUUCUAAUUUAUCAUGUAUGCUACUGGUUUCUCUUAUUUGAUCCAUAAGAAUACUUGUAACAUAAUCAAUGACUUCGUGCAUAUUUGAGGAUGUUGAUUGCAAUCCAAAGUCAAUAAAUUUGUUUGGUAGCAAGUUAUAUUUAAUACCUGACAUACAGUUGUCCAUUCUUAUAAAUGGUUAGUUUAUUCAUGUGAUCAGCAAGAAAAUUGACAUGAUCCAUUGGUGUAGUGCCGAAAAGUCCUUUUGAAAGUUUAUCUAUGAAAGGCAAAAGUGCACUUUUACUUCUAGAUUAGAUUAUGGUUGAUUAAAGAAUGAGACUUUCAAUACUCGAAAUUGUACACUUAAUUUUUGCUCCUGUUCAUUGUCUGAGGCUGUUUAUUCGAGUCAUCAUGUGAGAUAACAUGUGGCACGAUUGAUUGUUCACUUAACAAGCUGGAAGUGCAGGCACAUCAAAUUAUUGUGUGUUCCUCUUCAAUUAAAGCAUGAUGUGUAUUUCUUAAGAGGGUGUUAUUUUCAACAUUUUUGAUUAUAGAUCGUUUAAAAAAUAUGCGUUCUUCUAGUAUUUGACUUCUAUUUGUAAUGUCUUUGCCAUCAACUACUAGUUUCUGUAUAGUUUUUUGUUCGUUUGUAAGUUGUUCAUUGUUUGCAAAGUAUUUUGUAUUGUUUUCAUUGUGUUCAACAUGCUGUGCCCGUGCACGAAGUAUUAUGCCAUCAAAUUGUAGUUUUCAACUAUGUUAUUCAAAAUGUUCCUAUUUUUGGAGUGAGUGUAAAGAUUUCCAUUAUUUUUAUCUCUAAUAAUGCGUUAAGAACAAUAUUGAAAUCACCUCCAACUAAAAUGUUUUUAUGUCCCCCACUAUAGUAGUGGGGGACAUAUUGUUUUUGCCCUGUCUGUUGGUUGGUUGGUCUGUUGGUUUGCGCCAACUUUAACAUUUGCAAUAACUUUUGCAAUAUUGAAGAUAGCAACUUGAUAUUUGGCAUGCAUAUGUAUCUCAUGGAGCUGCACAUUUUGAGUGGUGAAAGGUCAAGGUCAUCCUUCAAGGUCAAAGGUCAAAUAUAUGGGUCAAAAUCGCUCAUUUAAUGUACACUUUUGCAAUAUUUCAAUAUUUAAGAUAGCAACUUGAUAUUUGGCAUGCUCAUGGAGCUGCACAUUUUGAGUGGUGAAAGGUCAAGGUCAAGGUCAUCCUUCAAGGUCAAAGGUCAAAUAUAUGGGUCAAAAUCGCUCAUUUAAUGUACACUUUUGCAAUAUUUCAAUAUUCAAGAUAGCAACUUGAUAUUUGGCAUGCAUGUGUAUCUCAUGGAGCUGCACAUUUUGAGUGGUGAAAGGUCAAGGUCAUCCUUCAAGGUCAAAUAUAUGGGUCAAAAUUGCUCAUGUAAUGUCACUUCUGCAAUAUUGAAGCUAGCAAUUUUAUAUUUGACAUGCAUGUGUAUCUCAUGGAGCUGCACAUUUUGAGUGGUGAAGGGUCAAGGUCAUCCUCCAAGGUCAAACGUCAUAUACGGGGACAUAGUGUUUCACAAACACAUCUUGUUAUCUGUGUUAUUUAUUUUAUUGGAAUGUAAUGUUUCAUAAAAUUUGGAUUCAUCUAUAUUCAGGCCGUAAACGUUUAUUAAUGUUAAUUGUGUUUCGUGUAUUAUUAUCCCCCGCCAGAGGCGGAGGGAUAUUGUUUUGGCGUUGUCCGUCCGUCCAGCUGUCCGUCCGGCCGGCACUUUUGUGUCCGGGGCCAUAUCUUGGAAGUGCUUUGGCGGAUUUCAUUGAAACUUGGUAUGUGUAUAUAUAUGCAUAACAGGAUGAUGCACGCCAAAUGGCAUUGUAUACCAUCUAUCUGUUAAAAACAGAGUUAUGGCCCUUUGUAUCUUGAAAAAAUGCUUUUUACUAUAGGUACUUUUGUGUCCGGAGCCAUAUCUUGGAAGUGCUUUGGCGGUUUUCAUUGAAACUUGGUAAGAGUAUAUAUAUGGAUAAGAGGAUGAUGCACGCCAAAUGGCAUUGUACACCAUCUGUUAAUAACGGAGUUAUGGCCCUUCGUAUCUUGAAAAAAUGCAUUUGUUUGCGUGUCGGCAGCCAUAUCUUGGAAGUGCUUUGGCGGAUUUCAUUGAAACUUGGAAUGAGUAUAUAUAUUGAUAAGAUAAUAAUGCACGCCAAAUGGCAUUGUACAUUAUCUGUUAAUAAUGGAGUUAUGGCCCUUUGUAUCUUGAAAAAAAUGCUUUUUUGAGUGUCAAAUAUAACACUUUUGUGUCCAGCAGCAUAUUGGCGGGGGAUAUCAAUUCAAUGAAUUUGCUUGUUAUAUCUAUACUUGCUUGUCUGCCAAUCAUUAUUUCUUUCAAGUUAUCCACUGUUAUUCCUGUAUUACUUUUGAUCAGUAAAGUGAUGCCUUGUUUAUUUGUAUGUUGUCCGCUAAGAUAAAUAUCUCCGUCCCAUGCACUUUUCAAUGUUUGUGCGAAGGUACGUGUGAUGUGAUUUUCCUGUAAAAGACUUUUUUUCGUCUAACCAUUUGAAAAUUUAAGUGUGUUUGUCUUUGUUAUUUAGCCCUUUUACAUUUAGAGUACAUAUGUUAAUAUUCAUACAAAAGGAGGAGAAAUACAUGCCACUUUUCUUGUUUCUAACAUUUUAAAAUCAUUUUAUAGAGCUAGAUUAUUUGUUAAUACUAAAUUAUGCAAAAUUAUAUUACGCUUUGACGUUAAAAACAAUAACCUUCCAUGUCCUACAGGUUGUUGAUACAUUCUGUGCAUUAAAUUGAUCUACGUACUUGUUCAUUUAUUACAAUGGUAUUGGUAACUAUACCCUGCCUUCAUUUAAAUUGAUCUCGAUACCAUUUUUUAAACAUUUCAUUAUCAUUAACACUUUGCUUUCCGCGUGGUAAGACCUCCAUUGUUAAAUGAAUGAAUAAUUUAGUGAAUUAGUUAAAUGUGUUUAUAUAUCGUUCCAAAUUAUUUUUAUAACACUUGUUAGUGAUGCUUUCAGAUCCCGAACUUUUGUUUUUUUGCAUUUCUUGAAGAGCUAGUCCACAUUCAUAUUCAGUUAGUAAUCCGUCACAUACUUCUUUUUCCUCUUAAUUUAAAGCAUGAUGUGUUUUUUUUUACAGAGGGUGUUAUUUUCGACAUUCUUUCGUUUAUAGAGUGUUUCAAAAUAUAGGCUUGUUCUAUUAUUUGCACAAUAUUCAUAUUCAGUUUGUAAUCCUUCACAUACUUGUUAUUCCUCUUCCUUUAAAGCAUGAUGUGUUAUUUUACAGAGGUUGUUAUUUUCGACAUUCUUUCGUUUAUAGUGUUUCGAAAAAUAGGCUUCUUCUAUUAUUUGACUUUUAUUUGUUAUGUCUUUGCCAUUAACCACUAGUCUAAGUAUAGUUUUGUGUUUGCUUCUACGUAUAAAAUGUUUGCACAGUAUUUUGUAUUGUUUUCAUUGUGUUCAACAUGCUGUGCCCGUGCUCGAAGUAUUAUGCCAUUGAGGUGUGUGUGAUAAAUUCUUUCUAUUAUAAUUUUUUUUUGUAAGAAUUUCCUUCUUCAAUGGAGGUGGUAUAAUUUGUGUUUCUUUUAUGCAUCUGUUUUUCAAGUGCUUCAAUGACUUUUAUGGCUUCAUUUUCAAGUUAGUGUUGUUUUUUUUUAAGCUUACCUGAGCACAACGUGCUCAUGGUGAGCUUUUGUGAUCGCCUUUUGUGCGUCGUCUGUCGUGCAGCGUCAACAUUUACCUUGUUAACACUAGAGGUCACAUUUAUUGUCCAAUCUUCAUGAAACUUGGUCCGAACAUGUGUCCCAUUAAUAUCUUGGACGAGUUCGAAAAUGCUUCUUGUUGUUGAAAAAACUGGGUGCCAGGGGGCGUGGCAGUUUUCCUAAUAUGGCUAUUGUAAAACCUUGUUAAGUCUCUAGAAGAUACAUUGUUUGUCCAAUCAUCGUGAAACUUGGUCGGAACAUGUGUCCCAAUAAAAUCUUUGACAAGUUCAAAAAUGGUUCCGGUUGGAAGAAAAACAUGGCCGCCAGGGGGCGGGGCAGUUUUCCUAUUAUGGCUAUAGUAAAACUUGUUCACACUGUAGAAGUCAAAUUUAUUGUCAAAUCUUCAUGAAACUUAGUCAGAACAUUUGUUCUAAUGAUAUCUUGGACGAGUUCGAAUAUGGUUCCCGUUGGUUGAAAAACAUGGCUGCCAGGUGGCGUGGCAGUUUUUCCUUAAAUGGCUACAGUAAAACCUUGUUAACACUCUAGAAGUCACAUUUUUAGUCCGUCAGAGCAUGUUUCCCAAUAAAAUCUUAAACGAGUUCAAAAAUGGUUCCAGUUGAAUGAAAAACAUGGCCGCCAGUGGUCGUGGCAGUUUUCCUUAUAUAGCUUUAGUGUAUAGUAAAACCUUUUAAACACUCUAGAAGUCACAUUUAUUGUCCAAUCUUCAUGAAACUUAGUCAGAACAUUUCUUCAGACCAUAUCUCGGAUGAGUUUGAAAAUGGUUCUGGUCUGUUGAAAAACAUGGCUGCCAGGGGGCGGGCCAGUUUUCCUUACAUGGCUGUAGUAAAACCUUGUUAUAACACUAGAAGUCACAUUUGUGGUCCAAUGCCUAUGAAACUUGGUCAGAAUAUGUGUACUAAUGAUAUCUUGGCUCAGAUCGAAAAUGGUUGAGGUCCGUUUAAAAACAUGGCCGCAAGGGGGCGUGGCAUUUUUCCUUAUAUGGCUAUUUAGUAAUGUUAACACUAGAAGUCACAAUAAUUAUCCAAUCUUUAUGAAACUUGAUCAGAACAUUUGUUCUAACAAUAGCUCAGCUGAGUUUGAAAAUGGUUAUGAUUCGUUGAAAAAUAUUGCCGCCCGGGGGGGGGGCAGUUGUCUUUAUAUGGCUUUAGUGAAAACUUGUUGACGCUAUAUUAGCCUCAUUUAUUGGCCAAUCUACAUGAAACUUGGUCAAAACAUUAUUUUGUCCCAAUGAAAUCUUAGCGAAGAUUGAAACUGGGUCAUAUUAGCUUAAAAACUAGAUCACUAGGUCAAAAUGUUGAAAGUCACUUUUUUGGUCUAAUCUUCAUGAAUCAGCUUGCAUUUGUCCAGAAUAGUCUAGUUCCUUUUGCUCUCAGGUGAGCGCCUUAGGGCCUAACGGCCCUCUUGUUUUAAAUGACGUGCAUCUUAUUGUUGUGUUAAGUAUCUUGCCUUUAAUUAUUUCCCAUAAGGUGUUUGGAUUUGCAUCUUUGUUAUCUUAAACUGUAUUGGUUAUUACCUGUUAUAUUUGUGUUUGAUAUUGUGUAUCUUUUCAGAAGCUAUUAUUUACUUUUAAAGUACCUUGGGCCUCUUUCAGGUUGUAGUUCAUGCAGUAAAAGUUCAACUAUCGAGUGAUCAGUCAUAAAUCCUGGUUUUAUGUUGCAUGUGUCGAUAAUGUUGCAAAUAGACACGCAUAUUUAAAAAAAUCUUAUCUCCAAAAUAUUGCUGGUUUUGUGUUUGAGUGCCAGGUGAAUUUUCUUUCAUUAUGAUUAACUGUAUGCCAUAUGUCUAUCAAAUUGUAGUUUUCAAUUAUGUUAUUCAAAAUGUUCCUUUUUUUGGAGUGAGUAUAAAGAUUUCCAUUUCUUUUAUCUCUAAUAAUGGGUUAAGAACAAUAUUGAAAUCCUCUCCGACUAUAAUGUUCUUAUCUUGGUUAUUUAUUAUAACAUUUGGAUUCAUCUAUGUUCGGACCGUAAACGUUCAUUAAUGUUAAUUGUGUUUCGUGUAUUUUUAUAUCUAUACUUGCUUGUCUGCCAAUCAUUAUUUCGUUCAAGUAAUCCACUGUUAUUCCUGUAUGACUUUUACUCAGACAAAUGAUGCCUUGUUUAUUUGUAUGUUGUCCGCUAAGAUAAAUAUCUCCGUCCCAACCACUUUUCAAUGUUUUUGCUAAGGUAUGUUUUAGGUGACUUUCCUGUAUAAAAAUGACAUAUAUUACUUUUUUUUUGUCUAACCAUUUGAAACUUUUAGUGCAUUUGUCUUUGUUAUUUAGCCCUUGUACAUUUACAGUACAUAUGUUAAUACUCGCACAAAAGGACGAGAAUUGCAUGAUACCAUUCUUGUUUCAAACAUUUUAAAAUCAUUUUGUAGAGCUAGAUUAUUAGUUAAUAGUUAAUUAUGUCAAGUUAUAUUAAGCUUUGAUGUUAAAAACAAUAACCUUCCAUGUUCUACAGGUUGUUGAUACAUUGUGUUCAUUAAA
This is a long non-coding RNA of Dreissena polymorpha, 8021 nucleotides long. RefSeq lists it as uncharacterized. The record is from RefSeq and is a predicted model, not a curated record. The transcript is spliced from 4 exons. NCBI's taxonomy places the organism in Eukaryota, Metazoa, Mollusca, Bivalvia, Myida, Dreissenidae.